UAACCCCUACGGGACGCAGCAGUGGGGAAUAUUGCACAAUGGGGGAAACCCUGAUGCAGCGACGCCGCGUGAGUGAAGAAGUAUUUCGGUAUGUAAAGCUCUAUCAGCAGGGAAGAAAAAAGACGGUACCUGACUAAGAAGCCCCGGCUAACUACGUGCCAGCAGCCGCGGUAAUACGUAGGGGGCAAGCGUUAUCCGGAUUUACUGGGUGUAAAGGGAGCGUAGACGGUAUGGCAAGUCUGAAGUGAAAGCCCAGGGCUUAACCCUGGGACUGCUUUGGAAACUGUUAGACU
RNAcentral lists this ribosomal RNA (293 nucleotides) under uncultured bacterium. RNAcentral's name for it is "partial 16S ribosomal RNA". It matches the Rfam family "Bacterial small subunit ribosomal RNA", at positions 333 to 642 of the family's 1533-position model. The record is from RNAcentral.